AGGCCCGGUGUUCCUCAAACUCAACAUAACCUGUGGUGCUGUCGGUCUUGGGUUGUCAAUUUGUCAUCCUUCCAGGACCUUCCUUGAGCUCACCACUCAUUUCGGAUUCGGAAUGUCACGUAUCAUUUUGUGAUUAUUACUAACACGUGGUUACUACCUAGGUAUGUGUUUCGCGUUGGAUGUCAUGCAGAAUCAUUAUGGCCUCCAAAUCUUUGGUGAAGACGAGCGCAAUGUUGGACUUGAAGAAAAUGAAAGUGGACGACUUGACCAAACUGUGGACGAUUCUCUUCUAGUUCCCUUUAUCCUCUUACAAGAUAGAUCCCAACUAAUUGAUCAAUUGGAUGGUCCCCAAGGCCAAUCAAUGAAGUUUGGUAGCUUAAUAGCAUGAUAAGCAAACGCAUAUACUAAGUUACUUUAGAUUAAGGUAGCCAUGUUCCAGUAUAAAUUGACGCUCAUGCGAGCUGCUGGUAGCAUGACUGAGUAAAGGUUUAGAGGAAUUUUACUUUUAUUUCCAUGGGUCGUUGUGAGCUUAAAGGCAGAUCAAAGACAUAUUUAUAAGGAUAUAUUUUCUUUGAAGAGGUACCCUUCUUCAACAUUACCCAAAGCGUCAAACAAUUCUAAAACAUUUGGUAACGGAGCAGAAACCAGGAAUUAUAAAAAAUAUUGCGGUUAUAUAUUUAAUUUUUAAAUUAUAUAAUCAUUAAUUGUAAUAAAUAUUGUUGGUUUGGAGAGGAAUGAUAAAAUACCGGACAUUUUUUAUGAAAAUUUCUAUCGUAAAUUUUAAACUCAAUUUUUUAUGAAGUUGUGCUGGUGCUGCGUUCAACCUCUAGUGUUCGGUAUCACUUUUACAAAUGCCUUAUUGUGUAUACACUUUGGACGGGUGUGUAGGGGUAGAUCAUACUUCUUCCUCCCUGCUAAAUCUUAAGUAAAUCUUUAUUGUACAGGAAUCUGUCAGGAGAAAGUUGUUUACACAGAAUCGUUAUGCAGUCUCAUCCCUUAUAUAACCAUGUUAUCGGUGAUAAGUUUGUAACUAUGCUCAUUUUGAAGGCUGCCGCGUUAAUUCCUGUGAUAUUUUUAGUCAUUAAACUAAAGAGCCACGAGCUAUAACGCAUUCGAUAUACCUACCUAAUAACUUACAACCAAAAGAAUUACAUACUGAUUAGUGUAUAUAUCUGCCCUCGCCAGGAUUCGAAUCUGGACGUGCAGUGAUAUACGAGAGACUCGACCAUUUGUAUAUCAUAAGAUAUUAAGUUUAUAUCAACUUUGCCGUACAUAUUUAUGUGGAAUUAAGUUUAUAUCUCUAGAUUUACCCAGCAUUGUGCUGACACGGUCUCUUGCUUUUCACCAGUCCAUAAGGAUUUCGGGUGCUGUAAUACUUUGAACUGCUAUCACAUAUGCUAGCUGACUGGUAAGUUCGUAACACUUGGCUGUUUUGAAGCUUUGUUACUUAAAUACGUGUGCCUUUUAUGCUAAAAAAUAUUAAGCCCUAAGCAGCAAUAUCGAAUUCACCAUACCUGGAUGAUGCAUUACACCCAAGGGGACUUUUGAUGAGUGUUUUUGAUUUGAGCGUUAUUGUUGUAAUGACAAGUUGGUGGAUUCUUCCCACAUCUGCGUCUCUCUAGUUUCAAAAAUUCCUCAGUGUUCUUUCCCCCUCUCGAGUAAUGCCUUUCUGAGUGUCACUUGAAGAUGUCAGAGUGAAUUAAUGAAUGCCGUUUUGAUGAAAAAAAAAAUAAAUAAA
Molecule: long non-coding RNA, 1738 nt
Organism: Macrobrachium nipponense
Lineage: Eukaryota; Metazoa; Arthropoda; Malacostraca; Decapoda; Palaemonidae
Exons: 2
Source: RefSeq, a predicted model, not a curated record